AGUUUUCGGACAAUGGAUGUAGAGGAAAGUGGCGGACGGGUGAGUAACGCGUGAGGAACCUGCCUUAUACAGGGGGAUAACAGUUGGAAACGACUGCUAAUACCGCAUAAGCGCACAGUACCGCAUGGUACAGUGUGAAAAACUCCGGUGGUGUGAGAUGGACCCGCGUCUGAUUAGCUAGUUGGCAGGGCAACGGCCUACCAAGGCGACGAUCAGUAGCCGGACUGAGAGGUUGAACGGCCACAUUGGGACUGAGAUACGGCCCAGACUCC
This 272-nucleotide ribosomal RNA is filed under the name uncultured Lachnospiraceae bacterium. RNAcentral's name for it is "partial 16S ribosomal RNA". It matches the Rfam family "Bacterial small subunit ribosomal RNA", at positions 75 to 339 of the family's 1533-position model. Lineage: Bacteria; Bacillati; Bacillota; Clostridia; Lachnospirales; Lachnospiraceae. The record is from RNAcentral.